CCUUCGAUAGCUCAGUUGGAAGAGCGUGGGACUGUAAUUUGAUGACAAAAGCUAUCUAUCCCGAGGCCAUCGGUUCGAUCCCGAUUCGAAGGA
This is a transfer RNA of Hebeloma cylindrosporum, 93 nucleotides long. It matches the Rfam family "tRNA". Rfam says of the family: Transfer RNA (tRNA) molecules are approximately 80 nucleotides in length. Their secondary structure includes four short double-helical elements and three loops (D, anti-codon, and T loops). Lineage: Eukaryota; Fungi; Basidiomycota; Agaricomycetes; Agaricales; Hymenogastraceae. The record is from Rfam.